This 75-nucleotide microRNA precursor is filed under the name Pteropus vampyrus (large flying fox). RNAcentral describes it as "miRNA (ENSPVAG00000025734.1)". The record is from RNAcentral. Lineage: Eukaryota; Metazoa; Chordata; Mammalia; Chiroptera; Pteropodidae.
UGUGUGUGUGCGUGCGCGUGUGUGUGUGUGUGUGUGUGUGUGUGUGUGUGUGUUCAAUCCAUUCACACACCAAAA